RNAcentral lists this ribosomal RNA (422 nucleotides) under uncultured soil bacterium. RNAcentral's name for it is "bacterial SSU rRNA". It matches the Rfam family "Bacterial small subunit ribosomal RNA", at positions 26 to 495 of the family's 1533-position model. The record is from RNAcentral.
AGAGCGAACGCUGGCGGCAGGCUUAACACACGCAAGUCGAGCGCCCGUAGCAAUACGGGAGCGGCAGACGGGAGAGUAACACGUGGGAACAUGCCCUUCGGUUCGGAAUAACUCAGGGAAACUUGAGCUAAUACCGGAUACGUCCGUAAGGAGAAAGAUUUAUCGCCGAAGGAUUGGCCCGCGUCCGAUUAGCUUGUUGGUGAGGUAAUGGCUCACCAAGGCGACGAUCGGUAGCUGGUCUGAGAGGAUGAUCAGCCUCACUGGACUGAGACACGGCCCAGACUCUUACGGGAGGCAGCAGUGGGGAAUAUUGGACAAUGGGCGAAAGCCUGAUCCAGCCAUGCCGCGUGGUGAUGAAGGCCUUAGGUGUAAAGCCCUUUAGGCGGGAAGUAUAAUGAACGGUACCGCGAGAAGAACGCCCG